GUGAAUCAUCGAAUCUUUGAACGCAAAUUGCACUCUCCUCUGAGAGUAUGCCUGUGUGAGGGUCAGGCUAUAAAAAAUCUAAAUCGUUGCUGUUCCUCCGUGGCGUUCGUAGGAAAUGGGGUCGUCUUAUAUCUUUUGGUUUUAAGCGACUUAAAAUUUUCUUUUUUAUUCCAUGAACGUUUCAAAUAUUUAUUUCUUUUCACAUUUAAGGUAUCGUUUUUUAUUAGACCUGGCCCUUGCAUCGGAUCAAGACC
This 254-nucleotide unclassified non-coding RNA is filed under the name Glomus sp. Its description in RNAcentral is "partial contains 5.8S ribosomal RNA and internal transcribed spacer 2". The stretch from base 1 to 65 matches the Rfam family "5.8S ribosomal RNA", at positions 84 to 154 of the family's 154-position model. The record is from RNAcentral. Lineage: Eukaryota; Fungi; Glomeromycota; Glomeromycetes; Glomerales; Glomeraceae.